Non-coding RNA from Oryctolagus cuniculus (rabbit), 859 nucleotides. NCBI's taxonomy places the organism in Eukaryota, Metazoa, Chordata, Mammalia, Lagomorpha, Leporidae. The record is from RefSeq and is a predicted model, not a curated record.
AUAUCUUUUAUAGUUCAGAAUAACUAUAGAAGAUACAUAAUCCUAGAAGUUUUAGACUGAAAACACCACAAGAUACACAGCAGACUCAAAGAAUGGCAGAUGUCCUAAACAGCACGGAAAGUCAAGACACUCUGACAAAGUAAAAACAAAACAAAACAAAACAAAACCCCUAAAUGAAAAAUCUGUGAGAGCCCAGCAAAAAGAACGAGCCAUCAAAGAAGGGGGUACCUUUCUCUGAAGGGAGGAGAGAACUUCCACUUUGAUUAUGGCCUUGUCUAAACAAGGUCAGAGUUUGUGAACUCAAGAGGCUUCCAUAGCCUUGACAGCUCAUGACAAGAGCCUCAGGUGAUUACUGACAUCAUAAAUAAGAGUGUCAAUUGUUAAAUCAGCAACAGGAGUCACUGUACACUUACUCCCCAUGUAGGAGCUCUGUCCUUGAUGCAUUGUACUCUGAGGAUUAACGUAAUGACAUGCUGAAAAGCCAACACUACUGACACGCACAGAAAUUCCAGGAAUGCAGCCUGAUCAAUGUUCUUCUGAAGAAACAUAAACAUAAAACUUUUUGUGAAGAAACAAACAAUGUUUAGAAAACGCAUCUGGGAGAAACCAGGGCUCCUGGGAGAAAUGGUGAUUCUAAAUCAGGGCAGAAAAAAUUAUAAGACAAACAGAUAACAACUUAGUGUGUCAAAAAGCAAAGAAGCUAUAAAGAUUAGAUCAUGCCAGAACAAGGCACAAGUUAGAUUAAAGCUUUCCACUGACCAAAGAUGAGACAAUUUGGGCAUCAAAGGAAGUAACUGAAAGAUCAAAACAUGAAUGUAUCAAAAUUUAAGAGUUCAAAUAAAACAACAAUGAUGACCUC